Molecule: ribosomal RNA, 464 nt
Filed under: uncultured bacterium
Lineage: Bacteria
Description: partial 16S ribosomal RNA
Rfam family: Bacterial small subunit ribosomal RNA
Source: RNAcentral
GACGAACGCUGGCGGCGUGCUUAACACAUGCAAGUCGAACGGAAAGGCCCUGCUUGCAGGGUACUCGAGUGGCGAACGGGUGAGUAACACGUGGGUGAUCUGCCCUGCACUUCGGGAUAAGCCUGGGAAACUGGGUCUAAUACCGGAUAGGAGCCAUUUUUAGUGUGAUGGUUGGAAAGUUUUUUCGGUGUAGGAUGAGCUCGCGGCCUAUCAGCUUGUUGGUGGGGUAAUGGCCUACCAAGGCGGCGACGGGUAGUCGGCCUGAGAGGGUGGACGGCCACAUUGGGACUGAGAUACGGCCCAGACUCCUACGGGAGGCAGCAGUGGGGAAUAUUGCACAAUGGGCGCAAGCCUGAUGCAGCGACGCCGCGUGGGGGAUGACGGCCUUCGGGUUGUAAACUCCUUUCGCUAGGGACGAAGCUUUUGUGACGGUACCUAGAUAAGAAGCACCGGCUAACUACGUG